CACGAACCGGGCAAACGUUAUUCGGAAUUACUGGGCUUAAAGGGUGCGUAGGCGGCGCUGUAAGUCGGGUGUGAAAUCCCUCGGCCUAACCGAGGAAUUGCGCCCGAUACUGCAGUGCUCGAGGAAGAUAGAGGUGGGCGGAACUAGCAGUGGAGCGGUGAAAUGCGUUGAUAUUGCUGGGAACACCCGUGGCGAAAGCGGCCCACUGGGUCUUUUCUGACGCUGAUGCACGAAAGCUAGGGUAGCGAACGGG
Molecule: ribosomal RNA, 253 nt
Filed under: uncultured bacterium
Lineage: Bacteria
Description: partial 16S ribosomal RNA
Rfam family: Bacterial small subunit ribosomal RNA
Source: RNAcentral